CGCAGCCUGACUGCCUCCGACUGCGGGGCCUCCCUGUCCUACAAGUCCCUCCCCACCCCUCUACUUGGGACCUGGCUUCUACCAUCACUCUCUGUGACUUCAGCAUUCUACCUGCAUGACCUAUGCAGCACCUGGCCUCUGUUAGCUUGCCACCUUCACCGACAUCUUCUCUGCUGAGGCCUCCCACCAUGCCCUUUACUUUCUCACCGCCAGAAAUAGCCCCAGCUCUGAAAUGUGUUUUAAGCAUCCCACUUGGGGUCCACCAGCUCCUGACCUUUGAGCUUAGGCCUCUCCUCCAGGACCCUCUCUGACUACGAUUUCCCAACCCCUCUCGACCCUCCAUUCACUGGCCUUGACACUUUCUUGCCUCCAUCCUGCACCUCUCCCCAUCCCCUCGUGAACACUGCCACCCCUCCUGGCAGAGACUCAGUACUUCCACUCUCUGAAUGCAUUUCUUCUUCCUAGGCACACCAGAAGACCACAUUUCCUAGCCCCCCACCCUCCUGCAGUGGCUGGGACCAUGUGACUCCUUAAUUAGGUCACUUCUCUCUCCUGGGAGGUCCUCUCUGUCCUCUCUAUGUCUAAUUAGUGGCAAAGGAUCUAAGGGAAGAAGGCUGGCAGAGUUACUAGUCCCAAGAAGCCUGGGUCCCUGAAUCACCACAUGGAAGUCUACGUGCCCACCAUCUGAAUGGACUAAGGCAUCAACAGAAGUAAUACACACCCCUGUAGGGCCGAGGAGGUGAAACAGCUGGUACGCCUUCCCCACACUCUCCUUUGCUUCCAUGGUGACCUAGGAAGCUGCAGGAUGAAGAUAACAGCAUCACAAGGAGGGAGCGCAGGAUCCCUGUGUUACCACAAGGAGGAGGGAUGCCUAACCAAGACCAUCUGCAAGGAUUUUGUGUGAGCCAGAAGCAGAGCUGUGUGGUGUUCAGUCGCUGAGAUUCAAGGGCUGUUUGUUACCACAGUUGACCUAUCCUGACUGACACAUCACGUUGUUCCUUUCCCCACCAUGUGUGUAACAUGCUACCAAAUUGAAUUUUAAAUAAAUUAGUACUUAUAAAUUAA
Molecule: long non-coding RNA, 1065 nt
Organism: Cercocebus atys (sooty mangabey)
Lineage: Eukaryota; Metazoa; Chordata; Mammalia; Primates; Cercopithecidae
Exons: 2
Source: RefSeq, a predicted model, not a curated record